UUUCCGUAGGUGAACCUGCGGAAGGAUCAUUACUGGGUCACCGAGCGCCUCGGCGCUCACCCCCACCCUUCGCUUCCCGCCCCACGAUCGGCGUCAGGCGGGCCCCCCUUCGGGGAGGCCCUCCGGCCGAAACGCAAACUCUAGCAACCCCUUGCAGCCUGAAGUAAAAAACAAAUAGUUAAAACUUUCAACAACGGAUCUCUUGGUUCUG
RNAcentral lists this unclassified non-coding RNA (211 nucleotides) under plant metagenome. Its description in RNAcentral is "partial contains small subunit ribosomal RNA, internal transcribed spacer 1, and 5.8S ribosomal RNA". The record is from RNAcentral.